This 332-nucleotide long non-coding RNA is filed under the name Oryza brachyantha (malo sina). RNAcentral's name for it is "long non-coding RNA (OBRA_LNC000369)". The record is from RNAcentral. Lineage: Eukaryota; Viridiplantae; Streptophyta; Magnoliopsida; Poales; Poaceae.
UACGCAUAUUACGUGAACUGAGCGUAGAUUAAUUGGGUAGGUUACUCGUAAUUAAACUUACUUAUAUGUAUUUUAACUACUAAGGUAUUCAUAUUUAGAGAUAUAUCGGUACAGCAUUUUAGAGAUAUAUCUGAAAGAAACUACGCGAAAAAAGAACAAUGGCAGCAACAUCACAUUCAGCAAGAGACCAUGCCAUGACAUCGACAGUUUGCGGUUUGUAUCACUCGAAGAAUCGUUGUCCUCGACGCCUCGUGGCUAAAGUUUCCAGCUCUGCAAUUGCAAAUUUGCAAUGGUAACAUCAUAAGGCCCCGUUUACUUCCUAAAAAAUUUUC